GCUGAACUUAAGCAUAUCAAU
Molecule: non-coding RNA, 21 nt
Filed under: Xenopus tropicalis (tropical clawed frog)
Lineage: Eukaryota; Metazoa; Chordata; Amphibia; Anura; Pipidae
Also listed under: 4 other names
Source: RNAcentral